Molecule: transfer RNA, 85 nt
Filed under: Felis catus (domestic cat)
Lineage: Eukaryota; Metazoa; Chordata; Mammalia; Carnivora; Felidae
Also listed under: 1 other name
Rfam family: tRNA
About the family: Transfer RNA (tRNA) molecules are approximately 80 nucleotides in length. Their secondary structure includes four short double-helical elements and three loops (D, anti-codon, and T loops).
Source: Rfam by way of RNAcentral
ACCUGGGUGGCUCAGUUGGUUAAGCAUCUGACUUCAGCUCAGGUCAUGAUCUCACAGUUUGUGGGUUUGAGCCCCACAUCAGGCU